CACGUAGGGUGCGAGCGUUGUCCGGAAUUAUUGGGCGUAAAGAGCUCGUAGGCGGUGUGUCGCGUCGGCCGUGAAAACCUGCAGCUUAACUGUGGGCUUGCGGUCGAUACGGGCAUUACUGGAGUUCGGCAGGGGAGACUGGAAUUCCUGGUGUAGCGGUGAAAUGCGCAGAUAUCAGGAGGAACACCAACGGCGAAGGCAGCACUCUGGGCCGGUACUGACGCUGAGGAGCGAAAGCGUGGGGAGCAAACAGG
This 254-nucleotide ribosomal RNA is filed under the name uncultured bacterium. RNAcentral's name for it is "partial 16S ribosomal RNA". It matches the Rfam family "Bacterial small subunit ribosomal RNA", at positions 524 to 776 of the family's 1533-position model. The record is from RNAcentral.